Anguilla anguilla (European eel) is the source of this 1127-nucleotide long non-coding RNA. RefSeq lists it as uncharacterized. The record is from RefSeq and is a predicted model, not a curated record. Lineage: Eukaryota; Metazoa; Chordata; Actinopteri; Anguilliformes; Anguillidae. The transcript has 3 exons.
GUCAAACAGCUGUUGUCGUCCAAUCAGAUUUCAGAUACGACUGCUUAAAUCAAGCACGAAGCUGUUCUGCCUGGGAAAAUAGUUUGUUUUGGUGCUCCCAUUGUAAUCACAGAAUUGUGACGGGAUUGGUUUAGUUCUGAUCGCUGCAUUAGGACACAAUCCCCGGCUCAGCGAGCGUCAGUUUGUCAUGGCAACAGUAAGCGGCGGUUCAGUUUGAGAAUCGGAGCCAGAUCAACCGCAGUUUGAACAAGUAAUAAAAAGAGGCCUUAAUUAUCCCUUGUCUCUCGGUUGUGCCUUGUCCAGGUGCUUUGUUUUGCAUUUGCAUUAAUCCAAAGGCAAGCCUGCUGUACUUAGCACAACGCGUGCCAGUUCUGAUUUAAUAAAAUACGACUGGAGCAAUAGCUGUGAUUUAAUGCUGGCCUGCAGGCCUCAUGGAUCAAUCUCCCAUCUAAUCCAGAUUUGACUGGGAGCGGAGCGAUAGAAUCUCAUUCCGCGCUAAAGCCAAAACCGGCGAGUCUUACGGGAUUUAGUGUCGUCUUUUCCGGAGGAUCUGGACUUUUGAGAGAAACCACCUUGUUACUCAACAGAUGGGCACCAAGACAACAGAUGCCAGGUGUUUGGGUUCAUCACUAAUUCAUAUAAUUUGGAGCCCCCCCCCCCCUGCCCACAUAGUGAUGACGUGCUCAUGAUGGACUGCCUGCGGGGGCCUUCCCAGAAACCACUGGCUUAGGAGAUGGUCCCGGUGUCUCAGACAGUAAUCGUCCCUGUCCAGACAGUGUAUUUUCUGUGAUAAUGGAGCGCGGCGGGUCAAUAGGCAUGCAUAAUGAAUGGAUGAGGAAGUGGGGUCCAUGUGCUGCUGAGAGCUCGGAGAGGAAGGAAGGCCGUUAACGUCUCGAGAGCAGACCCUGCGGGGAGAACUCCUCCCACGCCGGCGGCGAGCUGCGAGCAACAUCGGCGUUGGAAGGCUGCUUCUGACUGUCACAUGACACUAGUUAACCCAAACCAGAAACGAAACUUCUGCAAACUGAUUCAGUGGCUCGUUAUCGCCACAAAGAAGAGGUGAAUCCGGCACCCUGUUGCCUACUAAAUGUGUAAUCGCGUAACUGAAUUUUUUUUUUUUUUACAGC